UGUAUCUGUGUUUGUAUGUGCCAGUGUGUGUAUCUGUGUGUCAGUGUGUAUGAACCUGACACACAGAUACACACACUGGCACAUACAAACACAGAUACACA
This is a non-coding RNA of Pelobates cultripes (western spadefoot toad), 101 nucleotides long. The record is from the annotation of a GenBank genome assembly. NCBI's taxonomy places the organism in Eukaryota, Metazoa, Chordata, Amphibia, Anura, Pelobatidae.